Molecule: ribosomal RNA, 497 nt
Filed under: uncultured bacterium
Lineage: Bacteria
Description: partial 16S ribosomal RNA
Rfam family: Bacterial small subunit ribosomal RNA
Source: RNAcentral
GACGAACGCUGGCGGCGUGCCUAAUACAUGCAAGUAGAACGCUGAAGCGAGGAGCUUGCUCUUCUUGGAUGAGUUGCGAACGGGUGAGUAACGCGUAGGUAACCUGCCUUGUAGCGGGGGAUAACUAUUGGAAACGAUAGCUAAUACCGCAUAACAAUGGAUGACACAUGUCAUUUAUUUGAAAGGGGCAAUUGCUCCACUACAAGAUGGACCUGCGUUGUAUUAGCUAGUAGGUGAGGUAAUGGCUCACCUAGGCGACGAUACAUAGCCGACCUGAGAGGGUGAUCGGCCACACUGGGACUGAGACACGGCCCAGACUCCUACGGGAGGCAGCAGUAGGGAAUCUUCGGCAAUGGGGGCAACCCUGACCGAGCAACGCCGCGUGAGUGAAGAAGGUUUUCGGAUCGUAAGGCUCUGUUGUAAGUCAAGAACGGGUGUGAGAGUGGAAAGUUCACACUGUGACGGUAGCUUACCAGAAAGGGACGGCUAACUACGUG